This 430-nucleotide ribosomal RNA is filed under the name uncultured bacterium. Its description in RNAcentral is "bacterial SSU rRNA". It matches the Rfam family "Bacterial small subunit ribosomal RNA", at positions 355 to 776 of the family's 1533-position model. The record is from RNAcentral.
UGGGGAAUUUUGCGCAAUGGGCGAAAGCCUGACGCAGCAACGCCGCGUGAGUGAUGAAGGCUUUCGGGUCGUAAAGCUCUGUCAGGGGGAAAGAAGUGUAAAAUGGCUAAUACCCAUUUUACUUGACGGUACCCCCAAAGGAAGCACCGGCUAACUCCGUGCCAGCAGCCGCGGUAAUACGGAGGGUGCGAGCGUUGUUCGGAUUUAUUGGGCGUAAAGCGCGUGUAGGUGGUUUAUUAAGUCUGAUGUGAAAGUCCCGGGCUCAACCUUGGAAGUGCAUUGGAAACUGGUAGACUUGAAUACGGGAGAGGGCAGUGGAAUUCCUGGUGUAGGAGUGAAAUCCGUAGAUAUCAGGAGGAACACCGGUGGCGAAGGCGGCUGCCUGGACCGAUAUUGACGCUGAGACGCGAAAGCGUGGGUAGCAAACAGG